This is an RNA transcript of Apis mellifera (honey bee), 4869 nucleotides long. RefSeq lists it as uncharacterized. Lineage: Eukaryota; Metazoa; Arthropoda; Insecta; Hymenoptera; Apidae. The record is from RefSeq and is a predicted model, not a curated record. The transcript has 11 exons.
CCCGCGUGUCAGUGUGACGCAUUUUCCCACACGUACGCGCACGAGCACACAGGCGCACGGUUCGCCGUUUGAUACACGCGCUCGUGCGUUUCUUUUCUACAACAUUUAUCCAACGUGCACAACAUUACUACUACUACUACUACGUAAAAGUAUCCAACGAAAUAGCGUUAAACACGUUCGGCCCGUGGCAAGCGUGUGGGUGUCCGAGCGCGAGCGAGCGCGCGCGCGCGCGUGUGCGUGGAUUAUUUUCGCUUAUACCGCGGCGCACGCAAUCUCAGAAGUGGUUCUCGCGUUGACAGGUUCCGAACGAGUUUUCGCCGGCCUCCGAAGCCACCGAUCGGUCAGUGCUUCCACGCCUGGAUCCAACGAUCCUCCUCGAGCGUCCUCCUCGAAGGAUCGAGCGAUCAACAGGGAGGAGGAGGAGGAGGAGGAGGGUGAGGAGGAGGAGGAAAAGGAGCUUGCUGGUGAUCGUGAUCGCGGUCGGUACGAGACCAAUGUGACACGCGGACGAAUUCUUAUGCAACGUUUAAGGUGAACGUGGUUGCACGGUUAACCGGCGCACGGGAAAGGAACGGAAGAAACCUGUCCCAGGGAAUUAUGAAUGAUCCUCGUUAUGGUGAAGAGCCGUGCCUCGUGUUCUACCCGGUUGCUGGAAAUAGCGUGCAAUCUGGGCACGGAAACGCCGACAACUGGACAAAUACGCUCGUUGUUCGCCUCGUGCGCUCUGCGACACCAACGUGCCGUCGUUGAGUCGUGACGAAGAGGAAUCUCGGAAUCCCGGUUGUAAGAGUAUUCCCUCGAAGUGGAAAAGUUGAUUGGAAUUGUAUCUCGAUUCUUCUCUCUCUCUUUCUCUCUCUCUCUCUCUGUCUCUCUAUUUCUGUUUCUCUCUCUCUUUCUCUUUCGUUUGAAUCACGUUAUUGUUGUGCACAUGUGAACAGAGAAGAGGGGGAGCAGGAUGGUAUUAUCGUGGUCAUGAUGGUCAACGGAUGCGGAAAAGUGAUAAUGGAUGACGGAAUAAGACGAGAAUAAACGAAAUAGUAUGCGGAACGAUAGGAAGACGAGAAAUCGCACGAUGCGUGAACUUGGCGGUGGAUGCCGUAGAACUUCGUGCGUUUUUUGUGAAACGGGUUUCAAAGUUUCGAAGCGUUGGAAACGGAGGGACGUUCUUUGACGGUACGCUUUUUCAUUUUCUCGCGACAUUCCCUCCCUCCCUCCCCCCCCCUCCCCGGCCCCGCAAAUUGUCCACGAUGGUGCUAUCGACGACGCUUCUCUACGAAUCCCUGCAUUAUCGAUGGUGUUCUCCCAAUAGAAAGUUUAUGCGGAUCGCGUAACUUAACAAUUCUCUCUCUUCGGGGAAAGAAAAAAUUGGGAUCGGCGCGUGUCGAAACGAAUGGUUCGCGGGAUGGAAGGAUGAAUUUGAGUUGAGGGCAAGGGGCGGGACAGAAAGGAGGAAGAAGUCGAAGGAAGAGUUGUGGCGCGGAGUAGAGGAGUUUGGAUUGAUUACUCGGAUCGUAAAUUCGUUUGACGCACACGUAGCGAUGCUGCGCUGCGACGUUUGAGAAACGUGUUUCAGAUUAUCGUUGGAUUUACAACCCGUGAAUCAGACGGGAGAGAAAAAGAAAAGGAAAAAAGAGAAAAAAAAUCACCGUGCAAACUUUUACGAUCGCGUUACGCUCGCGGAUAAAGCGAGCGUUUCGAUCUCUCUCCUUCUCGCAUUGAAAGCGGGAAAAAAUCGCGUCGUUCCCGCGCGAUUUUUUUAAAAGAAAGAAAAGAACGAAGGGAACGAAGAAAAGGAUCGUACGUUAAACGUUAAGGCGAGGUGAGAUAUUUCUCUUCGUAUUCGUAUAAAUAUAUAAACACGGGGGGAGGAGAAGAGACACAGGAGGAGGGAAAAUCGAGAUCGUUGAACGAAAUGCUAAUGAGCGAAAAGAAUUGUGCGAGGAAAGAAGGAACAAACGAGGAAUUGGACGAGCAUACGAUCAGAGACAGCAACAGAGCAGCGCUGGACGAGCUGCUGGUGAACUCGACGGUCCCCUCGGCCACUGUUCCGGUAAAAGUGUGCGAUGACUCCGCGGACGAGGGAGGAAGGGACAACAACGACAAGCAGAAACGGGGAAUCCUGACCAACUUUCAGAGAAGGACAUUUAGCAGGAUCAGUUUCAAAGGAGAAUCCGGCCCUCUGCUGAGCAGAUACCGGCAGACGAGAUUCAGCUCCCGAAGAAUACGGAAAAGGGUGGUUUUCAAGCACGGCGAUUGCAAUGUCGUACAAGGAAAUGUGGCCAAGCGACGACGACGUUACCUUCAGGAUAUUUUCACGACGCUGGUCGACGCGCAAUGGAGAUGGACUCUUCUGGUGUUCUCGAUGAACUUCUUGCUCUCGUGGCUAGGUUUCGCCCUGAUUUGGUGGCUGAUCGCUUACAGCCACGGCGACCUCGAUCCGGAGAAUCACGCCAACUCCAACUCGACCUUCAUCCCCUGCAUCGAGAACAUUCGUGGAUUCACCAGCUCGUUCCUCUUCUCGAUCGAGACCCAGCACACGAUCGGGUACGGAUCGAAGCACCCUACGGACGAAUGUCCGGAGGCUGUGUUCGUCAUAUGCAUCCAGUCGAUGACAGGUGUGAUACUGCAAGCUUUCAUGGUGGGAAUAGUGUUCGCCAAGCUAUCCCGGCCCAAGAAGAGGACGCAGACGUUAUUGUUCUCGAGGAACGCGGUCAUCUGUCAGAGGGACGGCCAGCCUUGCCUCAUGUUUCGAGUCGGUGACAUGAGGAAGAGCCACAUAAUCGAGGCACACGUGAGGGCGCAGAUGAUCAAACGAAAGGUGACCAGAGAGGGGGAAUUGUUACCCUUCUUCCAAACGGAGCUGAAAGUGGGGAGCGACGGGGAGGAGGACAAGAUCUUGUUCAUUUGGCCGACGACGAUCGUUCACAAGAUCGACGAGCAAUCUCCCCUUUAUCACAUAUCGGCGAGCGAUAUGCUGCGAGAACGUUUCGAGAUCGUGGUUAUAUUGGAAGGCGUGAUCGAGUCGACUGGAAUGACGACCCAGGCCAGGAGCUCUUAUCUACCCUCUGAGAUUUUGUGGGGGCACAGGUUCGAGCAUAUAAUCACGUUCAAAAAGGAGACGGGGGAGUACGAGGUGAACUAUACCCUUUUCAACAACACGUACGAGGUCGACACACCACUGUGCUCGGCGGCCGAUCUCGAUAAAAUUAAGGCGAUGCAGAGAGCGAAAGGAGAGCGCAUGAGCAACACCGCGUUCGCUCAUUAUCGCGACGCGUCGAGCAGCUCUUUGACCACCGGAUCCGGUUCCAGCUUGGCGUCGUCCACCGGUGGAUUGCACAUGAACGUGCCGAUGACAUCGUUGACUCCGAUUCCAGUUAUGAUCACGAGUCCGGACGGCUCUCUGAGACGCGAGAGCAUGCAGAGCGCGCAAACCGAGAUGAAACCGCCGAUGUUUUACACACAUAACGAGUUUUUGGACAACGAGCAUUCUUCGAGUUAUCCGCAAGACGAUUCGGGAAACCAGGAGGACUACGAUCGUGCGUUGGAGGAUAUAAACGCGACGUUGAGGAAGAGUCGAGGGCCGAGCCAGGAGGCGAGGAGGACAAUGCACAAGGAGCCGUCCAAGGCGACGUUAGAUUCCAGGAAGAGCGAGUCCAGGGACGCGAUAAGGAGAUCGAACUCGAGGAUAACCAUGGAUCAAAUUAAUACUCCUCCGAGAUCACCCUCGCGACAGCAUUUAGACGCCAGAAACGAUUCUAAUCCGAUGACGAGGCACGCGAAAUUCGUCGAGUCGACGGAACCUCGUCGCGACCCUUCGCCCCAUCCCCAUUCUCUUUCCCCGCCGAGAAGGUACAGCCUGGGCGAAAAUCACAGGGGCAGGGAUCAUCAACACCAGCCCGCGAAGAAAACCAGUUUCAUCCUCGGCGACGACGACCACCACGUGAUCGAGAUCGAUCAACAGAGAAGUUUCGUGGCGGGCGACGAUCAUCGCCACGUGAUCGACAUCGAAUCGGGCCCUGUCUCCAAGCUGCCUUCUCCUUCGCCCGCCCACGAGACAUUGGACGCGUCCAAGACCAAUCAUCACCAUCAUCCACGAAACAACGCCUCCUCCGGUCCUCAGGAGCAAGUGUAGUAGGGUGUAACGAUCGGGUGAAAACGGAGGGAGAAUUUAUCUCGAGGGAUAACAAAGGGAUGGAGAAGAGAAGAAGGAAGAGAGGCGAAGCGACAGACGGAGGAGUUGUCGGGCAAAGAGAGUGUGUGUACGCGCGUACAUACGUGACUCAAUGCUGAUCGACGAUCCUCGAUCUCGUUGAGAAGUAGGAGGAAAAGGCUAGGUAAAAGAGAAAAUGGUAGGGAUAAAGGCGGGCGAGGAAGGUGCGUUGACGUCACUGGGCAAGCUCGCCGCUCGACGCUGUGCGACGCUGGUUGCCAACGCGAUCGCAGUUUCACGAGGUUUCAACCGAGACCACGCAUCUCCUCCGCCCUUUUUCCAUCGUUCCACGCGGUUCCUAACCGGCCGGCCGAAAGAAACAUCAGCGGCGGGUCUGCCUCUCCUCGCGUCGUCUCGCACCGUGUUCUCUCUCGCGACGUGGCGGGAAAAUUCGAAAAGUGACGCAGCGGCCGAUCGAACGACAUCUGGGAGCGGAGUGGCGGAAGACCACGUGGCCAACCGUGUCAAUGACUCGAGAUCGAAAUUCAACGUAAAGGGACGAGGAAUGGUGGGAUUCCGGGAACGGAAGGGCGGCGGUGUGGAUGCCGGAGGAAAGUGAGAGGAAACGAAGAAACGAUGGCAGAAAACAGAACUUUGCUCUCCAACGGCCGUGAGUCAUCGUCGCGUGGCCGCCUCCACCUUCGACUUCAUUCAUCCUG